Molecule: ribosomal RNA, 495 nt
Filed under: uncultured bacterium
Lineage: Bacteria
Description: partial 16S ribosomal RNA
Rfam family: Bacterial small subunit ribosomal RNA
Source: RNAcentral
GACGAACGCUGGCGGCGUGCUUAACACAUGCAAGUCGAACGGAAAGGCCCUGCUUUUGUGGGGUGCUCGAGUGGCGAACGGGUGAGUAACACGUGAGUAACCUGCCCUUGACUUUGGGAUAACUUCGGGAAACCGGAGCUAAUACCGGAUAAUAUAUUGAACCGCAUGGUUCAAUAGUGAAAGACGGUUUUGCUGUCACUUAUAGAUGGAUCCGCGCCGCAUUAGCUAGUUGGUAAGGUAACGGCUUACCAAGGCAACGAUGCGUAGCCGACCUGAGAGGGUGAUCGGCCACACUGGAACUGAGACACGGUCCAGACUCCUACGGGAGGCAGCAGUAGGGAAUCUUCCGCAAUGGGCGAAAGCUUGACGGAGCAACGCCGCGUGAGUGAUGAAGGUCUUCGGAUCGUAAAACUCUGUUAUUAGGGAAGAACAAAUGUGUAAGUAACUAUGCACGUCUUGACGGUACCUAAUCAGAAAGCCACGGCUAACUACGUG